RNAcentral lists this transfer RNA (84 nucleotides) under Lentinula edodes (shiitake mushroom). Its description in RNAcentral is "tRNA-Pro". It matches the Rfam family "tRNA". Rfam says of the family: Transfer RNA (tRNA) molecules are approximately 80 nucleotides in length. The record is from RNAcentral. Lineage: Eukaryota; Fungi; Basidiomycota; Agaricomycetes; Agaricales; Omphalotaceae.
GGCCUGAUGGUCUAGGAGUAUGAUUCGUUGUUAGGGAGUUAAAGCCAUUCGACGAGGUCCCGGGUUCAAUUCCCGGUCAGGCCC